CCUACGGGUGGCAGCAGUAGGGAAUAUUGCUCAAUGGGGGAAACUCUGAAGCAGCAACGCCGCGUGGAGGAUGAAGGUUUUAUGAUUGUUAACUCCUUUUUUUAGAGAAGUUUAUGACGGUAUCUAUCGCCUCCUCACUGGCUCACUCCGUGCCAGCCGCCGCGGUAAUACGGAGGGUGCAAGCGUUACUCGGAAUCACUGGGCGUAAAGAGUGCGUAGGCGGGGUAAUAAGUCAGAUGUGAAAUCCUGUAGCUUAACUACAGAACUGCAUUUGAAACUGUUACUCUGGAGUGUGGGAGAGGUAGGUGGAAUGCGUGGUGUAGGGGUGAAAUGCGUAGAGAUCAAGAAGAAUACUGAUUGCGAAGGCAACCUGCUGGAACACGACUGACGCUGAUGCACGAAAGCGUGGGGAGCAAACAGGAUUAGAUACCCUAGUAGUC
Molecule: ribosomal RNA, 440 nt
Filed under: uncultured bacterium
Lineage: Bacteria
Description: partial 16S ribosomal RNA
Rfam family: Bacterial small subunit ribosomal RNA
Source: RNAcentral